RNAcentral lists this ribosomal RNA (491 nucleotides) under Turbinella pyrum. Its description in RNAcentral is "partial 16S ribosomal RNA". It matches the Rfam family "Bacterial large subunit ribosomal RNA", at positions 1811 to 2560 of the family's 2925-position model. Lineage: Eukaryota; Metazoa; Mollusca; Gastropoda; Neogastropoda; Turbinellidae. The record is from RNAcentral.
AAACAUGGCUCUCUGUAUAUUGAAGAUAGAGAGUCGGACCUGCCCGGUGAAUUUUUUAACGGCCGCGGUACUCUGACCGUGCAAAGGUAGCAUAAUCAUUUGCCUUAUAAUUGAAGGCUAGAAUGAAUGGUUUGACAAGAAUACAACUGUCUCUUUACAAUUACAUAAAAUUUUAUCUGCAGUUGAAGAAGCCUGCAUUUGAAUAAAAGACAAGAAGACCCUAUCGAGCUUAAAAAAAACUGGUGGAAUAACAAACUUAAUCCUAACUUAUAAAUAAAUAAAUAGUCAACUACUGGAAAUUUUGGUUGGGGCGACCGGGGAACAAAAAAAACUUCCUUUAUAAAAAUUUAGAUGCCCAAAUAUUGAUCCAGCAUUAUAUGAUUAAAGAAAUUAGUUGCCCUAGGGAUAACAGCAUUAUCUUUUUUAAGAGUUCUUAUCGAAAAAAAGUUUGUGACCUCGAUGUUGGACCAGAAUAUCCUAAAGAUGCAGCC